This 235-nucleotide ribosomal RNA is filed under the name uncultured bacterium. RNAcentral describes it as "partial 16S ribosomal RNA". It matches the Rfam family "Bacterial small subunit ribosomal RNA", at positions 100 to 334 of the family's 1533-position model. The record is from RNAcentral.
CGGCACGGGUGAGUAACACGUAUCCAACCUGCCGUCUACUCUUGGACAGCCUUCUGAAAGGAAGAUUAAUACAAGAUGGCAUCAUGAGUCCGCAUGUUCACAUGAUUAAAGGUAUUCCGGUAGACGAUGGGGAUGCGUUCAUUAGAUAGUAGGCGGGGUAACGGCCCACCUAGUCUUCGAUGGAUAGGGGUUCUGAGAGGAAGGUCCCCCACAUUGGAACUGAGACACGGUCCAA